Molecule: ribosomal RNA, 253 nt
Filed under: uncultured bacterium
Lineage: Bacteria
Description: partial 16S ribosomal RNA
Rfam family: Bacterial small subunit ribosomal RNA
Source: RNAcentral
UACGAAGGAUGCAAGCGUUAUCCGGAUUCAUUGGGCUUAAAGGGAGCGUAGGUGGCCUUAUAAGUCAGUGGUGAAAUCUCUCGGCUUAACUGAGAAAUUGCCAUUGAUACUGUAGGGCUUGAGUACAGUUGCUGUGGGCGGAAUAUGACAUGUAGUGGUGAAAUACAUAGAGAUGUCAUAGAACACCGAUUGCGAAGGCAGCUCACAAGACUGUAACUGACACUGAGGCUCGAAAGUGCGGGGAGCAAACAGG